CUAGAUCUGGUUCCUACAUGUAGGAUAAGAGAAAAAGGAUCAUUGAGAUACUUAUCCUUAUACACAUUUGAUGUGUGUAGCCCAUGUAAUAUGCUAACCAAGGAGUUCUUUCUACUUUGUAUAUGAGAUACAGAUCUGAAAUUUUUUGAAAGGUUUAAAGAUUUCAGAUAUAAAGUAGAAAAAUAAAUCAAAAAAUUUCUAAAGGUAUUUCGA
RNAcentral lists this long non-coding RNA (213 nucleotides) under Elaeis guineensis (African oil palm). RNAcentral describes it as "long non-coding RNA (EGUI_LNC081949)". Lineage: Eukaryota; Viridiplantae; Streptophyta; Magnoliopsida; Arecales; Arecaceae. The record is from RNAcentral.